CACGCCGUAAACGAUGGAUACUAGGUGUAGGAGGUAUCGACCCCUUCUGUGCCGGAGUUAACACAAUAAGUAUCCCACCUGGGGAGUACGGCCGCAAGGUUGAAACUCAAAGGAAUUGACGGGGGCCCGCACAAGCAGUGGAGUAUGUGGUUUAAUUCGAAGCAACGCGAAGAACCUUACCAGGACUUGACAUCCCUCGCUAUUCAAGGAAACUUGAAGUUCCUACGGGACGGGGAGACAGGUGG
Molecule: ribosomal RNA, 245 nt
Filed under: uncultured Oscillospiraceae bacterium
Lineage: Bacteria; Bacillati; Bacillota; Clostridia; Eubacteriales; Oscillospiraceae
Description: partial 16S ribosomal RNA
Rfam family: Bacterial small subunit ribosomal RNA
Source: RNAcentral